This 84-nucleotide transfer RNA is filed under the name Phycisphaerae bacterium. Its description in RNAcentral is "tRNA-Leu". It matches the Rfam family "tRNA". Rfam says of the family: Transfer RNA (tRNA) molecules are approximately 80 nucleotides in length. Their secondary structure includes four short double-helical elements and three loops (D, anti-codon, and T loops). The record is from RNAcentral. RNAcentral also lists the same sequence under 1 other name. Lineage: Bacteria; Pseudomonadati; Planctomycetota; Phycisphaerae.
GCGGAUGUGGCGGAACUGGCAGACGCGCUGGCUUCAGGUGCCAGUGGGGGCAACCCCGUGGAGGUUCGAAUCCUCUCAUCCGCA